RNAcentral lists this ribosomal RNA (396 nucleotides) under uncultured bacterium. RNAcentral describes it as "bacterial SSU rRNA". It matches the Rfam family "Bacterial small subunit ribosomal RNA", at positions 28 to 437 of the family's 1533-position model. The record is from RNAcentral.
GAUGAACGCUAGCGGCAGGCUUAAUACAUGCAAGUCAAGGGGGUAGCAAUACUACCGGCGCACGGGUGAGUAACACGUACAUAACAUACCAUAUACUGGGGUAUAGCUUUGGGAAACUGAAGGUAAUCCCCCAUAACAUUGCGAGAGGGCAUCUGAUUGCAAUUAAAGUUUCGACGGUAUAUGAUUGAUGUGCGUUUGAUUAGCUUGUUGGUAGGGUAACGGCCUACCAAGGCGACGAUCAAUAGCUGGCGUGAGAGCGCGACCAGCCACACUGGAACUGAGACACGGUCCAGACUCCUACGGGAGGCAGCAGUAGGGAAUAUUGGACAAUGGGCGAAAGACCUCGAUCCAGCCAUGCCGCGUGAUAGAUGAAGGCCUCUGGUUGUAAUAUCUUUA